RNAcentral lists this long non-coding RNA (816 nucleotides) under Apteryx rowi (Okarito brown kiwi). Its description in RNAcentral is "lncRNA (ENSARWG00000006300.1)". The record is from RNAcentral. Lineage: Eukaryota; Metazoa; Chordata; Aves; Apterygiformes; Apterygidae.
CUAUAUGGACCUCAGGUAUUAGAAAGGCUGCUUGAAGCUUUGUGCCAAAGACCAUUGAAGCUUUCUGCAACACAAUGAACCCGUGCUUUCAGAGGGCCCAGUUUCACACUGUGUGACUGUACUACACCAGGAGCUAAGGACCACCAAACUCAUCAUAUACUGCUGCAAGUGUGAGGUCCUGGUCCCGCUCUUUUCGCCAGUCUGGAGCAACGUUUGGAGGAGCCCAGCAGCCUGGUCCUUUCCGUAGCUUCCAAGGAUUUUUAGGAUCGCAGGAUUUACAGACCCGCGAAAACCCCUGGAGGACGUUAGCUGUGGAUAAAAGCCUCUGGAAAUGCCUACCGUCUUCCUUACCUCUUGUUUCUUCUUGGGUGACCUGCACGUCGUUUGGGAAGGGAGCCUCUCCGUUCUUGGAGGAUUACGUCUAACCAGCCACUUGCCACCCUCACUGGAAUACAUCUGCUAAGUUUUCCCAGGAUGGAGAAAUUACUACAUGUGGCAGAAGGCUAUUUUUCCCUUCUCCCGGAACUCUCCCAGAGCGCAGCGGUGCUCUCGUCCAGCAGGUGACACCUGCUCGUAUUGUCGAGUCCCAGGAGUCCUCCGUAAGCUUAGUCUUUGUAAGUCUAGAAAUGAGUGAACCUCAAACCAUGCAGAGGUCUCGGUUGACUGCAGAAAGGAGAGAGGAAGAGCGUCUGGAAGGGAGCUCAGAUCCCGCCAGGGUUUCCCAGGAAAUGAGGUUGACCUCACUGGAGCAGUUUGGAUGGACUCUAGCUGAGGAUUUGGACACGAGUUGCAACAUGCAGCGCCUCUGAUUGCUUG